CACGUAGGCGGCUUUCUAAGUCGGGGGUGAAAUCCUGGAGCUCAACUCCAGAACUGCCUUCGAUACUGGAAAGCUCGAGUCCGGGAGAGGUGAGUGGAACUGCGAGUGUAGAGGUGAAAUUCGUAGAUAUUCGCAAGAACACCAGCGGCGAAGGCGGCUCACUGGCCCGGUACUGACGCUGAGGUGCGAAAGCGUGGGAGCAAACA
RNAcentral lists this ribosomal RNA (206 nucleotides) under uncultured bacterium. RNAcentral's name for it is "partial 16S ribosomal RNA". It matches the Rfam family "Bacterial small subunit ribosomal RNA", at positions 568 to 774 of the family's 1533-position model. The record is from RNAcentral.